UGCGGUGUGGAACUUACAGGGGUUAUACCCCUGUUUCAGCACCUGAGGCGGUGCGUCAAGCGCCGCCUCUUUCUUAUAAUAUAUUGUGACAAAUGUGGAGAAAGGCUGGUGGGAGGCCAGGCCGUGGCCGCACACCUGGCGGGUGCGGCCCAUCGAGCCCGUUACUGGGAGGGCCGGCAAGUCGGGCUGCUGUUGCAGUCCGACUACCGGGACGCCAUGGAGCGUAUCCGGACCCUAUGAUGAUGAUGUAUGAAGGUCUGGAGCUAGCUGCCGUCUUCGGGAUGUGCCAUUUGUUUUCAAAAUUAUUUGUAAGUACUUGUAACAGCUACUAACAGGCGUAGUGUAGUAACUGUGUAUGCAGUGUAGUAACAGUGUGUAGUGUUUUGUGAUGGUCCUGUGCUAUAGCAGUCGUAAUGUGUUUUGUGAUGGUCCUGUGCUAUAGCGGUCGUAAUGUGUUGGGCUACUGAAGUACACUGCAUGAAGGGAUAUGUGUGGGUGCUUCGACAUAUUCUCGUGCUUCCUAAAUCCUAGAUACGUGUAUAGCACUAUAACCUAGAUGUGUGUGCGCGCGCGUGUGUGUG
Molecule: long non-coding RNA, 581 nt
Organism: Sycon ciliatum
Lineage: Eukaryota; Metazoa; Porifera; Calcarea; Leucosolenida; Sycettidae
Exons: 3
Source: RefSeq, a predicted model, not a curated record